RNAcentral lists this ribosomal RNA (402 nucleotides) under Gracilibacillus thailandensis. Its description in RNAcentral is "bacterial SSU rRNA". It matches the Rfam family "Bacterial small subunit ribosomal RNA", at positions 992 to 1394 of the family's 1533-position model. Lineage: Bacteria; Bacillati; Bacillota; Bacilli; Caryophanales; Bacillaceae. The record is from RNAcentral.
GGAUGUCCCUAGAGAUAGGGAGUUCCCUUCGGGGACCGAAUGACAGGUGGUGCAUGGUUGUCGUCAGCUCGUGUCGUGAGAUGUUGGGUUAAGUCCCGCAACGAGCGCAACCCUUGAUCUUAGUUGCCAGCAUUAAGUUGGGCACUCUAAGGUGACUGCCGGUGACAAACCGGAGGAAGGUGGGGAUGACGUCAAAUCAUCAUGCCCCUUAUGACCUGGGCUACACACGUGCUACAAUGGAUGGAACAAAGGGCAGCGAAGCGGCAACGCAUUAGCAAAUCCCAUAAAUCCAUUCUCAGUUCGGAUUGCAGGCUGCAACUCGCCUGUAUGAAGCCGGAAUCGCUAGUAAUCGUGGAUCAGCAUGCCACGGUGAAUACGUUCCCGGGCCUUGUACACACCGCC